CUCAGGUUAUCUGCCCGCCUCGGCCUCCCAAAAUGCUGGGAUUACAGGCGUCGACUUUUUUAACCCCUUUCACAGCACAUAAAGGUAACCCCAGUUCUCACACGUUUCUUUCGUGCACUUUCUCUCUCCAAAAGGGAAGCCGCCAAAAGGUCUUAACCCCUGGAUUUGGGAGGAUGGGAGUGAUCUUGGGAAGUUUAAUUAUGCACGACUGUAUUGGCUGCUAGACUGUGAGGCAUUUUCAGAAUUUUGUAACUUCAGGCUUCCUGGGAGAGCUUUGGCACAUGUCUCAUUCUUUUGAGGGCAUAGGGAAGGAUUUGGUUGAAGGGUUACAUUUUGGGAAUGUGAGUGGCUGUUUUGCAAUAUUAGUCAAACUUAGAGUUUCCUCUAAAUUUCAUGACCAGAAGUCACACCUUGUAGGUCUGAUUACACCGAAGACCCAGGAAACAGGAUUCUCUCAUCUGGAUUUCCUUGAGGUGUACAGGGCUAGAAGGGAGUAGUCUAUUGAAACAUCAUUGCAGAUCCAGUUAGAGCCAAGGUUCUCAUAUUUAAAUAUCUGGAGAGCCAAGACCAGAAUUGACCAGCAGAGGGCAACCAACAACUAUGUUGUGAAGGGAAGAAGGCUCCAUGGUUUACAAAAUGGAGGAUCUGGACCAAGAAGGGAAAUAUGGCAGAGGUAGUUUGCUACUUGAAGUUCAUCCCUUUUACUCUCAAAUGCUUCUCUUGUAACUUUUGUGGGUGAGAGGCCGAGGCUUCAAACCUUCAUAUACAAUAGAUCAUUUUAAAUUUCUACCAUCCCCAUGUACCCACCCCAUCUCCCCAAUUCCUUCACCCUUCCUCUUCCACUCCAACAAAUCCUAACUAUUCUUUUACCUUUCUUUACCUUGCAUGAUCUGGCCCCCUCUCUCUCACCAUUCUUACAUAUUUACAUAUCACCCACUGGCAUUCUUUAGUUCCUGCUACAGUAUGUGGCCUUCCAUAUUUUCCCUGAAGUAACCUUCUCCACUUAAGCCUGUAGUCCCACUCAUUUAAACCUCCUAAGGAACCUUCCAUAAAUAUCCUUCCAUAACACCUUAAAAUUCCUCUACUCCACUGGAUCAAUCCUUCAUGAAUUCAGUACAAACAAAACCCCACCUUCAUUUGACACUUUCAAAUUUCCACAUUGUUUUCUACUUCCUUUUAUUUUUCGAAUAAAAUGUAUACCUUUCUGCCUCCAGUUCCAUACUAUCAGAUACCCCGUCAUCUGGUUUCUGCCUCCUGAAGUGUUUUGGUUUUUUUUUCUUUUUUACUUUUUUACUUUUUAUUUUUUUUUGAGACAGAGUCUUGCUCUCUCACCUAGGCUGGAGUGCAGUGGCACAAGCUCGGCUCACUGCAACCACCACCUCCCAGGUUCAAGCAAUUCUCCUGCCUCAGCCUCCCAAGUAGCUGGUAUUACAGGUCCCUGUCACCAUGCGCCUGGCUAAUUUUUUUUUUUUGUAUUUUUAGUAGGGACGGGGUUUUGCUAUGUUGACCAGGCUGGUUUUGAACUCCUGACCUCAAGUGAUCCACCUGCCUCAGCCUCCCCAAGUGCUGAGAUUACAGGUGUGAGCCACCGCGCCCGGCCUCCUGAAGUUUUUUAGACGUUAAUAGAAACCACUGGACAAAUUUAAUAAUCUCUUCUCAGUCUCCAUCCUUUCUGUGUUUGAAACAACAUUGAUUUCUUACUGGCCUUCAGAAACACUUAUUGUUUUUCUCCUUCUCAGUAUACUGCUUCUCCACCUCAUUUGCUUUCUUCUUCCUCCUGUGGAAUUUCCACCAAAGCUUCAUUCUCCCGAGACAAAAUCUCAGAGCCACCUUUCCAGGUAUGUCCUCAGCUAAACCAUGGUCCUUUAUCUCCAGCUGUUCACAUCUCUGCACAGCUGACCUAGUGUCACCUAAUAUGCAAACAAAGCUUCUCUUCCUCUCUCACAAUCAUCGUUCUGAACUUUUCCCACUUUUGUUGAUACCACUAUUCACUCAAUUCCUUCAUUUCCAGCUCUAAGAAUUAAUUAUCUGAAGUUUGUUUUCUCCCAAGCCCAUCACACUGAUUCAUCAGUUGCUUCCCCAAGCACAUCAUCUUAAUUCAUGCCUGUUACGAUGGCCUUCAAGGUGCCCUAGUUUCACCACACUGAAAUCCACCCUAUAUUAGUGUGAUUACACUGCUUUCAUCAUAUUAUUCCCCUGUCCAGGAACUCAGUUCCCCAUCUAAACAAACACAUGAUCCUAUUAUCAACAUACCCUGCCUAAAUUGCCCGUUUUUCUUACCCUUACAUCUUUCCACUAAGAUACCUUCCAUCUAAUCUGGCUGGUCAUCUCCGUGUGACAGCCCAACCCCUGCCAUCCCUCAUGAAGUUCCUUCUCUUUACUAACUAGGUAGUCUCACCAUAUAAUGAUCUUUUCAGCAAUAAAUUCUUAGAUCUUAAAAGUAUUAUUAUUUUGCCUGGA
Homo sapiens (human) is the source of this 2460-nucleotide long non-coding RNA. RefSeq lists it as uncharacterized. The record is from RefSeq and is a predicted model, not a curated record. The transcript has 2 exons. NCBI's taxonomy places the organism in Eukaryota, Metazoa, Chordata, Mammalia, Primates, Hominidae.